GUCCACGCCCUAAACGAUGUCAACUAGUUGUUGGGGAAGCAAUUCCUUGGUAACGCAGCUAACGCGUGAAGUUGACCGCCUGGGGAGUACGGUCGCAAGAUUAAAACUCAAAGGAAUUGACGGGGACCCGCACAAGCGGUGGAUGAUGUGGUUUAAUUCGAUGCAACGCGAAAAACCUUACCUACCCUUGACAUGUCUGGAAUCCUGCUGAAAGGUGGGAGUGCCCGAAAGGGAAUCAGAACACAGGUGCUGCAUGGCUGUCGU
Molecule: ribosomal RNA, 264 nt
Filed under: uncultured bacterium
Lineage: Bacteria
Description: partial 16S ribosomal RNA
Rfam family: Bacterial small subunit ribosomal RNA
Source: RNAcentral